UCCCUGAAGGCUUAGCAGGUUAAGAAUCUGCCUGCAGUGCAGAAGACCCAGGUUCAAUCCCUGGGCUGAGAA
This 72-nucleotide transfer RNA is filed under the name Ovis aries (sheep). It matches the Rfam family "tRNA". From Rfam's summary of the family: Transfer RNA (tRNA) molecules are approximately 80 nucleotides in length. Their secondary structure includes four short double-helical elements and three loops (D, anti-codon, and T loops). The record is from Rfam by way of RNAcentral. Lineage: Eukaryota; Metazoa; Chordata; Mammalia; Artiodactyla; Bovidae.